CAGUAGGGAAUCUUCCACAAUGGACGCAAGUCUGAUGGAGCAACGCCGCGUGAGUGAAGAAGGUCUUCGGAUCGUAAAACUCUGUUGUUAGAGAAGAACACGAGUGAGAGUAACUGUUCAUUCGAUGACGGUAUCUAACCAGCAAGUCACGGCUAACUACGUGCCAA
Molecule: ribosomal RNA, 167 nt
Filed under: uncultured bacterium
Lineage: Bacteria
Description: partial 16S rRNA
Rfam family: Bacterial small subunit ribosomal RNA
Source: RNAcentral